Molecule: ribosomal RNA, 254 nt
Filed under: uncultured bacterium
Lineage: Bacteria
Description: partial 16S ribosomal RNA
Rfam family: Bacterial small subunit ribosomal RNA
Source: RNAcentral
GACGUAGGGGGCGAGCGUUAUCCGGAUUCACUGGGCGUAAAGGGCGCGCAGGCGGUUACGUAAGUCCGGCGUGAAAUCCCAUGGCUUAACUGUGGAACUGCGUCGGAUACUGCGUUGACUUGAGGAUGGUAGAGGCCAUUAGAACUAGCGGUGUAGCGGUGAAAUGCGCAGAUAUCGCUAGGAAUGCCGGUGGCGAAGGCGGAUGGCUGGGCCACUCCUGACGCUGAGGCGCGAAAGCUAGGGGAGCGAACCGG